AGCCAUCAUGGUAGGGUGUCCAGGGUGAGGGGAGGGUGGUGUGAAUCCCCAGUAAUGCAGGUCCUUUCCAGGCCAGGCCCCUGGUCCCCAGGAGUGCGGGGAUGCCUGAGGUCUACUGCUGCCUUAUCCAGAGCUGCCAUCCCCGGCGAUGACUCAGAGUUCCUGUGGCCCCAGCAUCAUCCCUCCAUCCCUGGCUGUGAGGCAGGAGCAGAGUUGCAGACCUGAGAGGCCUUGAAUUUGUUUGAUAUAGGACUUUGCCACCAGACAAAGUGCUUUGCCUGUGAGGUCUGGCUUGGCCUGGCCUCUGAGAAAGAACAAACACAGACCUCACUGGAAGGAACCUGGAGAACGGGAGAGGAGAGGCUGCUGCUGUCUGCCCUCCCAGCAGCAGAUAUAAAGACAAUGGGCUUCUAAGUCCCCUAGAGUCCCAGCUGUGUAAUUUAAGGCAAAUAUAAUUUCUGACCUACGUAAUGAUGUAUGCACAAGAAGCCUCUCUUGAAUGUAUUAAUUCAGUAAACAGUUAUGGAGUCCUUACAAUGUGCUAGUGGGACUUUGAAGAUGAAUCCAAAUUUGGAUCCUGGCCUGGAAAGGCUCAAAGCCCAAUAUGGGAGACGGACCUUGCAGGUGGCAAUCGUGCAUGGGAGGACAUGGUGGUGGCAGGGUUCCUGACUGUGGCUGUGGGUGGCCUGGACUUGGCAGUGGAGGGAGAUUCAUUCAGAGAAGAGCGAUGGAGCUGCUAUGUUCACCCACUUUCCCAAUUAUAGCCCCUCUCCUCCAGGGCAUUUGCUGGGGGUGGGGGGUGGCGGAAUAAAGUCC
This 816-nucleotide long non-coding RNA is filed under the name Homo sapiens (human). RNAcentral describes it as "non-protein coding LINC01227:5". Lineage: Eukaryota; Metazoa; Chordata; Mammalia; Primates; Hominidae. The record is from RNAcentral.